This 410-nucleotide ribosomal RNA is filed under the name uncultured bacterium. RNAcentral's name for it is "bacterial SSU rRNA". It matches the Rfam family "Bacterial small subunit ribosomal RNA", at positions 8 to 429 of the family's 1533-position model. The record is from RNAcentral.
AGAGUUUGAUCCUGGCUCAGCCUGAACGCUGGCGGCGUGGCUAAGACAUGCAAGUCGUACGGUGUAGCAAUACACAGUGGCGAACGGGUGAGUAAUGUAUCGCUAAUGUACCCCGGACUCUGGGAUAGCUGCCUGAAAGGGCAGGUAAUACCAGAUGACAUAGCCUUUCCGCAUGGUAAGGUUCUCAAAGGUCCGCCGGUCUGGGAGCAGGCGAUAUCGUAUCAGCUAGUUGGUGAGGUAACGGCUCACCAAGGCGACGACGCGUAGCCGGACUGAGAGGUUGGCCGGCCACAUUGGGACUGAGACACUGCCCAGACUCCUACGGGGGGCUGCAGUAACGAAUCUUCCGCAAUGCACGAAAGUGUGACGGAGCGACGCCGCGUGUAGGACGAAGCCCUUCGGGGUGUAAA